AGCGAACGCUGGCGGCAGGCUUAACACAUGCAAGUCGAACGGGCAUCUUCGGAUGUCAGUGGCAGACGGGUGAGUAACACGGGGGAACGUACCCUUCGGUUCGGAAUAACGCAGGGAAACUUGAGCUAAUACCGGAUACGCCCUUUUGGGGAAAGGUUUACUGCCGAAGGAUCGGCCCGCGUCUGAUUAGCUUGUUGGUGGGGUAACGGCCUACCAAGGCGACGAUCAGUAGAUGGUCUGAGAGGAUGAGCAGCCACACUGGGACUGAGAAACGGCCCAGACUCCUACGGGAGGCAGCAGUGGGGAAUAUUGGACAAUGGGCGCAAGCCUGAUCCAGCCAUGCCGGGUGAGUGAUGAAGGCCUUAGGGUUGUAAAGCUCUUUUGUCCGGGACGAUAAUGACGGUACCGGAAGAAUAAGCCCCGGCUAACUUCGUG
This 435-nucleotide ribosomal RNA is filed under the name uncultured bacterium. RNAcentral describes it as "partial 16S ribosomal RNA". It matches the Rfam family "Bacterial small subunit ribosomal RNA", at positions 29 to 507 of the family's 1533-position model. The record is from RNAcentral.